Molecule: long non-coding RNA, 414 nt
Organism: Dermacentor andersoni
Lineage: Eukaryota; Metazoa; Arthropoda; Arachnida; Ixodida; Ixodidae
Source: RefSeq, a predicted model, not a curated record
CAAGUUUGCAGUUUCAGCAGGGAUUACAAUAAAUAAGUAUUUAUUAUUGUUUAGGGAUGGCAAGAUUUUGUGAACCAGAGGCACCUCCACAUAUGCACCUGCGGCACUUCUGCAGCCUCAACAGCACGGAAAAGUACCUGAUGUGCAUGCUGUGACAAGCUGCUGUAGGUAUGGCUGGACCUGGAGAAGAAGUGUAAGCAGACCAUGCUAUGUUGCUGAUCUGCGCUGAUCUCCACAUCCAAGUUGGUCCCGCGACAGUUGGGCACCAUUGUGCCUUGCUUCAUUGACAAGGUGAUAUAAUAUGGUGCCCUGCUCGCUCUCACCCAAGCAACCCACUCCAGCGGUCUUCUCUCGGCAGACUGGAUGCAUCGAAAUACCGUUAGAAGGUCCAAUAAACAGUGCUUGGGACAUUUA